UCAGAGCACUUCGCUCCUGCUGCCUUUGGCCUGAUGCUUAGAUGGAUUGAUGCGUAAGUUUGAAUCCUUUCAUUUUUCACUUCUCUAAUGGGUGGCUGAUGGCCUGAUGCUUUGAUGGAUCGAUGCAUGCUAGAACUGGCUGAUAUGUGCGUGUGUGUGCACAUUUUUUUCUUUUGAUUUUUGUAGAGAUUGGCUCAUGCUUCUCUGCUUAUGGAUUUCUUCUUUCUUCUGUCUGUGUUUCUCACUCUGUUGUUGAAUGAUCUGGUGAUUUUUUUUCUUUGUGGGCUUAUCUGAUGAAAUUUACUGCUACUUAGAUUGUGCACUGACACUGCCACCAGAAGAUAGAUCAUAGAUGCAUGUGUUUGCUUUCGAACAUGGUGCGUAAUCUUGUGGUUUGCCAACUGUCACCUCCGGCAAUUUCAGUUCAACAUGUCUUGGUUUUUGCAUUCUGAGUUCAGAGUUCUACAUAGUGGAAUGGUUAGUAUAUGGGAGUUUGCAUCUAUAGUUGCAUACUGUGGUUCCAUUCCGNNNNNNNNNNNNNNNNNNNNNNNNNNNNNNNNNNNNNNNNNNNNNNNNNNNNNNNNNNNNNNNNNNNNNNNNNNNNNNNNNNNNNNNNNNNNNNNNNNNNNNNNNNNNNNNNNNNNNNNNNNNNNNNNNNNNNNNNNNNNNNNNNNNNNNNNNNNNNNNNNNNNNNNNNNNNNNNNNNNNNNNNNNNNNNNNNNNNNNNNNNNNNNNNNNNNNNNNNNNNNNNNNNNNNNNNNNNNNNNNNCAAAUGAUACCACAUUAGUAUAGUAGAACGUACCACUUCCUCUUAAGAUUUCAGAAAUGACAUGUCAAGGACAGGGUAUAGAGCUCCGAAGAGUAUUCUCCUUCCGUCAUCGGUUGCUAAAUCAGUAACGCCCAGCGUUGUGUGCGAUGGAGCCCUUACUGCUGUUCACAACUGAACUCUUUAUUUUAUUUUAAUCCUUCAGAUUUGUCGGGUCAGGGAUCCUUCAGUUUUGUUGGAUCAGAAGUAAGAGCACCGGGACUUCAAGGACGAUGUAGAUUGUCGAAGGAAGUUGCAGAGUGCAUGGGCAGCAGUACCAGAGCAAGAACCUCGCGCGUGACGGAGCUGCUGUGGUAGAGAAGCAAAACUCAACGACUAACUCUACAAGCUCUGGUCACUCUCUUAAACAUCACUAACGUAAUCAUAUCUCACUCCAUUAUGCAAAUCUUAUUUUCUGAUUUUUUUGAUUCCAUUUCAGUACUUGUACCUUUUUACAAUGCGUUUAGUGCAUAUGAAUGAAGUAUAUUGAUUUAUCUUCUACCUAUGGUUUGCUAUGCUUUAUUGGUGCUCAACGUUUUUGACAUGUUGGCAUGCAUAUUACUAAAUUUGGUCAAGCAACCCGCCAACAGAUACAAAGAAGGUGAGUUUAUAAUGUGUAAUACCCAUUUCCUUUUUCUUUUUAUCCUGCAAUGUGCAAUACUUAAGUGGAAUUCAGUUAUUGAUGUUUGUUUUAUGCGGUUGAAAAAAGAAUCUCAAAUUUGGUGACCCUAUGUUGCUGGUUUGAUUAUGAUAAAUGCUUGUUGAAAUGAGCCAACUGAUAUUUUUUCUGCUGCAUGUCACCCUUGCGUGACGAAAGUUAUAUUGUCUAAGCGACGACUUAAUUGAUUAUAGUUCUCUUUAUCCCUGAAAGGUGCUAUGCAACAAUACAAAAUUGCUUUUGUUUGCAGGGUUAUAUGUCUUCUGAUCAUCUUGAUGGCAUAUAUGAGGACCUGCAAUACUGAACCUGGAAGUUAGUCAUUGAGGCAGUGGUCAUGGUAGUGAUAUCUACUGUGAGAACAUAAACGUUUGGCCCUCCUUUUUGCCACGAAGGAUUAUGAUCAACUGGACUUGCAGAACCAGUUAAUGGCAUGAUGCUGGCAGUAGUAAUGGAGGGUUGUGAUUUCUGGAUGGUAAAUUCUGAAUUGGAAAUGAUAUUUUCUAAUGUAUUCAUACAGUUAGAUAAUAUCAUAUUAGAUUUUCUUCUCUUACCUAGAACGUCUGCCAUGUAAAGCAUGCUUCCCUUUGAUUUGCUGUUGUGCUAGGAAUAGGACGGAUUGGCGUCCUCUUCUCACGAAACACACUGACAUAAAGUUUCUGGUUUCUGACGUACAAGGAUUAUUUACUAUGAACAAACAUUGCAAUGUUCAUUGGUAGUACUGUUUGUUGAGGCGAUGCCUCUGCCACAGGUAUGAAAUUAUCGUUGGGCCUUCAACUAUUUUUAUUUGAUGUAUAUGCUUCCAAACACUACUUGUUCCAGUACUACAUACUGGACAAAAACAAUUUCCUUAUAUGCCUGAACACGGCAUGGCUAAUUAGUAAUUGCACUACAUUCCUAAUAACUUCUAAACUUUUGGGAGGCAUGGCAAUGUUCUUCAACCAUGAGUAAGUUCAUAUAUAAUUAGACACUUCAAAAAUAAUGUCCUGUGACACAACUCACCUUGGUAACUAUGCUACAAAGUGUCCGAACCUACAUUUUAUAUCAGGAUGAUAAAAUUUCACCAAUCUAUCAUCGUUCAUACAAAAUUGAACUUGGGAGUGUUAAAAACCGCCGUCACUAAUUUAGCUAACCACUUACCAGUAGGUAAUCUAGCUAAUCGCUCACCAAGUAAGUAAUCUUUAAUCUGACGUUGUAUAUUGACUGUAGGACAAUAACAACCCAGUUUUCAACAGCUGCAAAAUAUUAAAAUGCUGCUAAUUUAAGAAUUGAGGAGAUUGCCUUUUCAUUUUGUAAAAUCUUCCUGUUCCAUUGUUCCACCUAAAGUGACCAAGCAUGAUCUUUAAUUUGCCAUGUAUGAUGCAGGGGAGCCAUUUUAUUAAGCUGGCAUUAGCACAAAAACACAAUAACCGUUGGGAGGGCUCCUUUGUAUCCCUAGACCCACACCCACACCCGACCGCCAUCUCCCACUUUCCUCAGUAUCACGACCUGAUGCGACGUUGGCAACACAAUCAGUCGGAGGAGGCCAGCGGUGGCGAUGACGGCUCUGCGAUGGGGAAAGGUCGCUUGUCGUCGCGGCACCAGCAAUUCCAGGAUCGCAUAAUACCCGCAUGUUGAUGACCUCCAGGACUCUCCGGCCUCCUCCCUCCAGGUACCUCUCCAAACCCUAACCGUCUCUGAGGUUCACAAUUUAUUACUAUACUACUAUUGUUUAAUUAGAUGGUAACAUAAAACUUUGAGUGUCUUAUAGGAGUUUUUAUUCACGGUUUGAGAUGCUAACUGGGUUCUCUCUGUCUCUCACAAGUUUGUCCUUGUGUUAUCUCUUUAUUCAGGGUACUCCCUCCAUUUCUGAAUAUAAUACCUUUUAGAGAUUUCACUAUAGACUACACACGUAACAAAAUGAGUAAAUCUACACUCUAAAGUAUGUCUAUACAUCCGUAUGUAGACCACGAUGGAAUCUAUAAAAGGUCUUAUAUUUAGGAACGGAGGGAGUAAAAAAUGCCUAGAAUAAAGAAAUGAUGAAUUGUAUUGUACUCAUUAUUGUAGUUAAAGAUUAUGUCUAUGUGAACGAUCGCCCUUUAAAUGAAGGUGUUCGUGACUAUGCAGCAGAAAUGUCAUUUUACCAGAGAGGUAAGCAAAUUUUGUAUCUGCAUCGGUAUAUUGCUGCAUUGUUCAUGAGUUCGACAACUAAAAUUGGGAAUUUGAUUCGUUAAACAUAUAUACCGACCAAAUAGUUUGUCGAAGCUUUCAAAACAUGUACUUACAGGAUAUUUUCUUCCGUGAUGCAGGUUCUAGAACAGACCCAGCAACAAGUGAGUUAAAAGUUUCCAACUAUUUUUGUCAAAUAUGCUACUUGCUUGAGCUGUUUUUGGACUUGAAGUAGGUGAACUGGGAAUUCGAUAUGGUUCAUGCAACCUUUUCUCUUGAGUGCAGUACGUCCCAACGGCUUAUCCAGGCGACGGAAAAGGAUUAAGAGGGGGUGCUGCAGUACCUGAUAGAAACCUAUAGGGGCCUCCCUGGUUAGUCCAAGAGAAUGGCAAGUGGUCACACUGAUCUCCAAAUUUUUAAUUCAGUCUUCAACUAAAAUUAAUCGAUUCGGUAAAUUUGAUGAAGUUUGGCCAUGGUUAUGCACAUACCAGUGCACUGCUUCAAGUCUAUUUAUGAUUGAUGUGGCAUCUCACUUCAGGCAAGGCAUCUGCGAAUGUGACCGACAGGUGGAAUACUAGAAUGCCUACAUAGGGAGCACACUGGAUGGGUUAAGGUCAGUCGUUCUAACGAAUUCCACCAAGAAUUUUCAUGAAACCUUCAGAGAUUAAUUCCUCUUUAUUUGGUAAGUUACUUACAUGUGUCGCCAGAUUAAGUGAACCGCUGACUUAAAGUGUUUCUGUUUGCUUAGAUUGAUGAGUCAAACAAGAACAAUACUUCUCUUAAUCAGUUGAGGGGCAGAAUUGUGGUCUUUGAUUGUGAAGAUGAUUGCAACCAAAACCGAGCUACAUGGAUCUCCACUGCAGGGUCUUGAUAUUCUGAAAGCAAGGCACUAACUGAACUUCUGUUUUUCAUCCUUAUAUAUCUGCAGUAAAAAAUAGCAGUUCUAGGUAAGGGAGGUUAUUUGCAUUGGUUCCCUUUCUGUAUGGUGUUCUUCCAUCCAUUUUCUUCCUUCUCUAUAGUCAUGUUUGUUAUCAGUUCGAUUACUGCAAUAGACAUAUACAUGUAUAUGUGGAUUGUGGUAUAGUUCUAGGUAAAAAUGGAGCAGUUGUUCACUUGUUCUAUAACAGUCGAAAGGGAUUUCCAGUGAAACUCUAGGUAUGUAGCUGUGUUUUAUUUUGAACCAGUAAUAAUACUAGAAUGAUUUCCUGGCCAGGACAAAUUGAUGUGUGUGAAUACCAUUAAACUGUUAUGAUAAAAUAUUUAGUCUAAUAAGAGUCAAAAAAUACGAUUUUGGGGAAAGUUUUCAUAUCCCAAUCGUGGUACAUUAAGAAAAUGAGUACCUUAUACAUGUAUUGAGUACCUUACUUUCUUGUUAUAGUUUAUCUGCUGAUGGUGCUUCACUACAAAUUACUGGAAUUUUGUGGGCACUACUAAUGAUAAUAUCAUUCUUUCCGCGAGUUGCGGAUACAAUAUUGAAGGUUACAAGUCUAUUAAUCGGCCGCCUACCCAUUUUCUGUUAUUUAGUUACCAGUUUAACUCAUAAAACUAAAGUAUGAUUGAUGCUGGAGAUAAUGUUGUUGCUAAGAAUUCGAAGUGUUGGGGAACGUAGCAGAAAUUCAAAAUUUUCCUACGUGUCACCAAGAUCUAUCUAUGGAGAAACCAGCAACGAGGAGAAGGAGAGUGCAUCUACAUACCCUUGUAGAUCGCUAAGCGGAAGCGUUCAAGAGAACGGGGUUGAAGGAGUCGUACUCGUCGUGAUCCAAAUCACCGGAGAUCCUAGUGCCGAACGGACGGCACCUCCGCGUUCAACACACGUACAGCCCGGUGACGUCUCCCAUGCCUUGAUCCAGCAAGGAGAGAGGGAGAGGUUGAGGAAGACUCCGUCCAGCAGCAGCACAACGGCGUGGUGGUGAUGGAGGAGCGUGGUAGUCCAGCAGGGCUUCGCCAAGCACCGCGAGAUAUGAGGAGAAGGGAGAGAGGUAGGGCUGCGCCAAGAGGAGAAGGGAGGGAUUCUCGUGUGUUGGGCAGCCCCCAAUCCUCUAGUAUUUAUAGGGGUAGGGGAGGGGGCUGCGCCCCCUCUAGGGUUCCCUCCCCAGGGGUGGCGGCAGCCCCCAGAUCCCAUCUGGGUGGCGGCCAGAGGGGGAGAGAGGGGAGGCGCGCCUGGGGCGGGCCUUAGGGCCCAUCUGCCCUAGGGUUUGCCCCCUCCCACUCUCCCCUGCGCCUUGGGCCCCUUGUGGGGGGCGCACCAGCCCACCUGGGGCUGGUUCCCUCCUACACAUGGCCCAUGCAGCCCUCCGGGGUAGGUGGCCUCACUUGGUGGACCCCCGGGACCCUCCCGGUGGUCCCGGUACGUUACCGAUAAAACCCGAAACUUUUCCGGUGACCAAAACAGGACUUCCCAUAUAUAAAUCUUUACCUCCGGACCAUUCCGGAACUCCUCGUGACGUCCGGGAUCUCAUACGGGACUCCGAACAACAUUCGCUAACCACAUACAAACUUCCUUUAUAACCCUAGCGUCAUCGAACCUUAAGUGUGUACACCCUACGGGUUCGGGAGACAUGAAGACAUGACCGAGACGUUCUCCGGUCAAUAACCAACAUCGGGAUCUGGAUAUCCAUGUUGGCUCCCACAUGUUCCACGAUGAUCUCAUCGGAUGAACCACGAUGUCAAGGACUCAAUCGAUCCCGUAUACAAUUCCCUUUGUCUAGCGGUAUUUUACUUGCCCGAGAUUCGAUCGUCGGUAUACCGAUACCUUGUUCAAUCUCGUUACCGGCAAGUCUCUUUACUCGUUCCGCAACACAUCAUCCCGUGAUCAACCCCUUGGUCACAUUGUGCACAUUAUGAUGAUGUCCUACCAAGUGGGCCCAGAGAUACCUCUCCGUUUACACGGAGUGACAAAUCCCAGUCUCGAUCCGUGUCAACCCAACAGACACUUUCGGAGAUACCUGUAGUGCACCUUUAUAGUCACCCAGUUACGUUGUGAUGUUUGAUACAUCCAAAGCACUCCUACGGUAUCCGGGAGUUACACGAUCUCAUGGUCUAAGGAAGAGAUACUUGACAUUAGAAAAGCUCUAGCAAAUGAACUACACGAUCUUUGUGCUAUGCUUAGGAUUGGGUCUUGUCCAUCACAUCAUUCUCCUAAUGAUGUGAUCUCGUUAUCAACGACAUCCAAUGUCCAUAGCCAGGAAACCAUGACUAUCUGUUGAUCACAACGAGCUAGUCAACUAGAGGCUCACUAGGAACAUAUUGUGGUCUAUGUAUUCACACGUGUAUUACAAUUUCCGGAUAAUACAGUUAUAGCAUGAAUAAAAGACAAUUAUCAUGAACAAGGAAAUAUAAUAAUACUUUUAUUAUUGCCUCUAGGGCAUAUUUCCAACAGUCUCCCACUUGUACUAGAGUCAAUAAUCUAGUUCACAUCGCCAUGUGAUUAACAUUGAAGGUCACAUCGCCAUGUGACCAACAUCCAAAGAGUUUACUAGUGUCAUUAAACUAGUUCAUAUCAUCAUGUGAUUAAGACUCAAUGAGUUCUGGGGUUUGAUCAUGUUUUGCUUGUGAGAGAGGUUUUAGUCAACGGGUCUGCAACAUUCAGAUCCGUAUGUACUUCGCAAAUCUCUAGGUCAUAUUGUAAUGUUGCUUCCAGGCUCCACUUGGAGCUAUUCCAAAUGGUCGCUCCACUAUACGUAUCCGGUUUGCUACUCAGAGUCACUCGGAUAGGUGUUAAAGCUUGCAUCGACCUUUACGCCGAACUCUUUAUCACCUCCAUAAUCGAGAAACAUGUCCUUAUUACUCCAAGGACAAUUUUGACCGCUGUUGAAUGAUCCAUUCCUGGAUCAUUCUUGUACCCCUUGACUGACUCAUGGCAAGGCACACUUCCGGUGCGGUACACAGCAUAGCAUACUAUAGAGCCUACGUCUGAAGCAUAGGGGACGACAUUCGUCCUUUCUCUCUAUUCUGCCGUGGUCGAGCUUUAACUCUUAACUUCAUACCUUACAACUCAGGCAAGAACUCCUUCUUUGACUGAUCCAUCUUGAACACCUUCAAGAUCAUGUCAAGGUAUGUGCUCAUUUUGAAAGUACCAUUUGCGUUUUUUGAUCUAUCCUCAUAGAUCUUGAUGCUCAAUGUUCAAGUAGCUUAAUCCAGGUUUUCCAUUGAAAAACAUUUUUCAAAUAACCCUAUAUGCUUUCCAGAAAUUCUACAUCAUUUCUGAUCAACAAUAUGUCAACGACAUAUACUCAUCAGAAAUUCUAUAGUGCUCCCACUCACUUCUUUGGAAAUACAAGUUUCUCAUAAACUUUGUAUAAACAAAAAAUCUUUGAUCAUCUUAUCAAAGUGCAUAUUCCAACUCCGAGAUGCUUACUCCAGUCCAUGGAAGGAUCGCCGGAACUAGCAUACCUUUUAGCAUCCUUAGGAUCGACAAAACUUUUCUGAUUGUAUCACAUACAACCUUUCCUUACGAAAACUGGUAAGGAAACUUGUUUUGACAUCCAUCUGCCAGAUUUCAUAAAUGCAGCUAAUGCUAACAUGAUUCUGACGGACUUUAAGCAUCGCUACGGAUGAGAAGAUCUCAUCGUAGUCAACUCCUUGAACUUGUGAAAAACUCUUCGCCACAAGUCGAGCUUCAUAGAUGGUGACAUUACCAUCCACGUCCGUCUUCUUCUUAAAUAUUCAUUUAUCUCAAUGGCUCGCCGAUCAUUGGGCAAGUCCACCAAAGUCCAUGCUUUGUUCUGAUACUGGAUCCUAUCUCAGAUUUCAUGGCUUCUAACCAUUUGUCGGAAUUUGGGCCCACCAUCGCUACUCCAUAGCUCGUAGGUUCAUUGUUGUCUAGCAACAUGACCUUCAAGACAGGAUUACUGUACCACUCUAAAGUAGUAUGCAUCCUUGUCACCCUACGAGGUACGGUAGAGACUUGAUCCGAAGUUUCAUGAUCACUAUCAUAAGCUUCUACUUCAAUUGGUGUAGGUGCCACAGGAACAACUUCCUGUGCCCUGCUACACACUAGUUGUAGUGACGGUUCAAUAACCAUAUCAAGUCUCCACCAUCCUCCCACUCAACUUUUCGAGACAAACUUUUCCUCGAGAAAGGACCCGAUUCAAGAAACAAUCCCUAUUGUUUUCGGAUCUGAAUUAGGAGGUAUACCCAACUGUUUUGGGUGUCCUAUGAAGAUGCAUUUUAUCCGCUUUGGGUUCGAGCUUAUCAACCUGAAACUUUUUCACAUAAGCGUCGCAGCCCCAAACCUUUAAGAAAUGACAGCUUAGGUUUCUCUAAACCAUAGUUCAUACGGUGUCAUCUCGACGGAAUUACGUGGUGCCCUAUUUAAAGUGAAUGUGGUUGUCUCUAAUGCCUAACCCAUAAACGAUAGUGGUAAUUCGAUAAGAGACAUCAUGGUACGCACCAUAUCCAACAGGGUGCAACUAUGAUGUUCGGACACACCAUCAAACUAUGGUGUUCCAGGCGGUAUUAAUUGUGAAACAAUUUCCACAAUGUCUUAAUUGCGUGCCAAAGCUCGUAACUCAGAUACUCAUAUCUAUGAUCAUAUCAUAGACAUUUUAUCCUCUUGUCACGAUGAUCUUCAACUUCACUCUGAAAUUGCUUGAACCAUUCAAUAAUUCAGACUUGUGUUUCAUCAAAUAAAUAUACUCAACAUCUACUUGAAUCAUCUGUAAAGUAAGAACAUAACGAUAUUCACUGCAUGCCUCAGCACUCAUUGGACUGCACACAUCAAAAUGUGUUACUUCCAACAAGUUGCUAUCUUGUUCCAUCUUACUGAAAACGAGGCUUUUCAGUCAUCUUGCCCAUGUGGUAUGAUUUGCAUAUCUCAAGUGAUUCAAAAUCAAGUGAGUCCAAACGAUCCAUCUGCAUGGAGUUUCUUCAUGCAUAUACACCAAGAGACAUGGUUCACAUGUCUCAAACUUUUCAAAAACGAGUGAGUUCAAAGAUCCAUCAACAUGGAGCUUCUUCAUGUGUUUUAUACCAAUAUGACUUACAUGGCAAUGCCACAAGUAAGUGAUACUAUCAUUACUAUCUUAUAUCUUUUGGCAUGAAAAUGUGUAUCACUACGAUCGAGAUUCAAUAAACCAUUCGUUUCAGAUGCAAGACCAUUGAAGGUAUUAUUCAAAUAAACAGAGUAACCAUUAUUCUCCUUAAAUGAAUAACCGUAUUGCGAUAGACAUAAUCCAAUCAUGUCUAUGCUCAACGCAAACACCAAAUCUCGAUGGUAGAGGGAGCGUGCGAUGCUUGAUCACAUCAACCUUGGAAAUACUUCCAACACAUAUCGCCAGCUCACCUUUAGCUAGUCUCCGUUUAUUCCGUAGCUCUUUUAUUUUGAAUUACUAACACUUAGCAACCGAACCGGUAUCUAAUACCCUGGUGCUACUAGGAGUACUAAUAAAGUACACAUUAACAUAAUGUAUAUCCAAUAUACUUCUAUCGACUUUGCCAGCCUUCUCAUCUACCAAGUAUCUAGGGUGGUUCCGCUUCAGUGCCCGUUCCUCUUAUUACAGAAGCACUUAGUCCCGGGUUUGGGUUCAACCUUGGGUUUCUUCACUAGAGCAGCAGCUGAUUUGCCGUUUCAUGAAGUAUCCCUUCUUGCCCUUGCCCUUCUUGAAACUAGUGGUUUCACCAACCAUCAACAACUGAUGCUCCUUCUUGAUUUCUACUUUCGCGGUGUCAAACAUCGCGAAUACCUCAAGGAUUAUCAUAUCUAUCCCUGAUAUGUUAUAGUUCAUCAUGAAGCUCUAGCAGCUUGGUGGCAAUGACUUUGGAGAAACAUCACUAUCUCAUCUGGAAGAUCAACUCCCACUCAAUUCUAGUGAUUGUUGCACUCAGACAAUAUGAGCACAAGCUCAACGAUUGAGCUUUUCUCCCUUAGUUUGCAGGCUAAGAAAAUCGUCGGAGGUCUCAUACCUCUUGACGUGGGCACGAGCAUGAAAUCCCAAUUUCAGCCCUCGAAAACAUCUCAUAUGUUCCGCAACGUUUCGAAAACGUCUUUGGUGCCUCAACUCUAAACCGUUUAACUGAACUAUCACGUAGUUACCAAAACGUGUAUGUCCGAUGUUUGCAACAUCCACAAACGACGUUUGGGGUUCAGCACACUGAGCGGUGCAUUAAGGACAUAAGCUUUCUACUGUCCGCAUAAUCGCUACUGUCAACUUUCAACUAUAUUUUCUGUAGGAACAUAUCUAAACAAUGGAACUAAAGCGCGAGCUUACGACAUAAUUUGCAAAGAUCUUUUGACUAUGUUCAGGAUAAUUAAGUUCAUCUUAUGAACUCCCACUCAGAUAGACAUCCCUCUGGUCAUCUAAGUGAUUACAUGAUCCGAGUCAACUAGGCCGUGUCCGAUCAUCACGUGGGACGGACUAGUCAUCAUCGGUGAACAUCUUCAUGUUGAUCGUAUCUACUAUACGACUCAUGCUCGACCUUUCGGUCUCCGUGUUCCGAGGCCAUGUCUGUACAUGCUAGGCUCGUCAAGUUAACCCUAAGUGUUUUGCAUGUGUAAAACUGUCUUACACCCGUUGUAUGUGAACGUAAGGAUCUAUCACACCCGAUCAUCACGUGGUGCUUCGAAACGACGAACUUUAGCAACGGUGCACAGUUAGGGGAGAACACUUCUUGAAAUUGUUGUAAGGGAUCAUCUUAUUUACUACCGUCGUUCUAAGUAAACAAGAUGCAUAAACAUGAUAAACAUCACAUGCAAUCAAAUAGUGACAUGAUAUGGCCAAUAUCAUUUUGCUCCUUUUGAUCUCCAUCUUCGGGGCUCCAUGAUCAUCAUCGUCACCGGCAUGACACCAUGAUCUCCAUCAUCGUGUCUUCAUGAAGUUGUCUCGCCAACUAUUACUUCUACUACUAUGGCUACCGGUUAGCAAUAAAGUAAAGUAAUUACAUGGCGUUGUAUAAUGACACGCAGGUCAUACAAUAAAUAAAGACAACUCCUAUGGCUCCUGCCGGUUGUCAUACUCAUCGACAUGCAAGUCGUGAUUCCUAUUACAAGAACAUGAUCAAUCUCAUACAUCACAUAUAUUCAUCACAUUCUUCUUGGCCAUAUCACAUCACAUAGCAUACCCUGCAAAAACAAGUUAGACGUCCUCUAAUUGUUGUUUGCAUGUUUUACGUGGCUGCUAUGGGUUUCUAGCAAGAAUGUUUCUUACCUACGCAAAACCACAACGUGAUAUGCCAAUUGCUAUUUACCCUUCAUAAGGACCCUUUUCAUCGAAUCCGUUCCGACUAAAGUGGGAGAGACUGGCACCCGCUAGCCACCUUAUGCACCAAGUGCAUGUCAAUCGGUGGAACCUGUCUCACGUAAGAGUACGUGUAAGGUCGGUCCGGGCCGCUUCAUCCCACAAUACCGUCGAAACAAGAUUGGACUAGUAACGGUAAGCAUAUUGAACAAAAUCAACGCCCACAACUACUUUGUGUUCUACUCGUGCAAAGAAUCUACGCAAUAGACCUAGCUCAUGAUGCCACUGUUGGGGAACGUAGCAGAAAUUCAAAAUUUUCCUACGUGUCACCAAGAUCUAUCUAUGGAGAAACCAGCAACGAGGAGAAGGAGAGUGCAUCUACAUACCCUUGUAGAUCGCUAAGCGGAAGCGUUCAAGAGAACGGGGUUGAAGGAGUCGUACUCGUCGUGAUCCAAAUCACCGGAGAACCUAGUGCCGAACGGACGGCACCUCCGCGUUCAACACACGUACAGCCCGGUGACGUCUCCCAUGCCUUGAUCUAGCAAGGAGAGAGGGAGAGGUUGAGGAAGACUCCGUCCAGCAGCAGCACAACAGCGUGGUGGUGAUGGAGGAGCGUGGUAGUCCAGCAGGGCUUCGCCAAGCACCGCGAGAUAUGAGGAGAAGGGAGAGAGGUAGGGCUGCGCCAAGAGGAGAAGGGAGAGAUUCUCGUGUGUUGGGCCGCCCCCAAUCCUCUAGUAUUUAUAGGGGGGGGGGGAGGGGAGGGGGCUGCGCCCCCUCUAGGGUUCCCUCCCCAGGGGUGGCGGCAGCCCCCAGAUCCCAUCUGGGUGGCGGCCAGAGGGGGAGAGAGGGGAGGCGCGCCUGGGGUGGGCCUUAGGGCCCAUCUGCCCUAGGGUUUGCCCCCUCCCACUCUCCCCUGCGCCUUGGGCCCCUUGUGGGGGGCGCACCAGACCACCUGGGGUUGGUUCCCUCCCACACAUGGCCCAUGCAGCCCUCCGGGGUAGGUGGACCCCCGGGACCCUCCCGGUGGUCCCGGUACGUUACCGAUAAAACCCGAAACUUUUUCGGUGACCAAAACAGGACUUCCCAUAUAUAAAUCUUUACCUCCGGACCAUUCCGGAACUCCUCGUGACGUCCGGGAUCUCAUCCGGGACUUCGAACAACAUUCGCUAACCACAUACAAACUUCCUUUAUAACCCUAGAGUCAUCGAACCUUAAGUGUGUAGACCCUACGGGUUCGGGAGACAUGAAGACAUGACCGAGACGUUCUCCGGUCAAUAACCAACAGCGGGAUCUGGAUACCCAUGUUGGCUCCCACAUGUUCCACGAUGAUCUCAUCGGAUGAACCACGAUGUCAAGGACUCAAUCGAUCCCGUAUACAAUUCCCUUUGUCUAGCGGUAUUUUACUUGCCCGAGAUUCGAUCGUCGGUAUACCGAUACCUUGUUCAAUCUCGUUACCGGCAAGUCUCUUUACUCGUUCCGCAACACAUCAUCCCGUGAUCAACCCCUUGGUCACAUUGUGCACAUUAUGAUGAUGUCCUACCGAGUGGGCCCAGAGAUACCUCUCCGUUUACACGGAGUGACAAAUCCCAGUCUCGAUCCGUGUGAACCCAACAGACACUUUCGGAGAUACCUGUAGUGCACCUUUAUAGUCACCCAGUUACGUUGUGACGUUUGAUACACCCAAAGCACUCCUACGGUAUCCGGGAGUUACACGAUCUCAUGGUCUAAGGAAGAGAUACUUGACAUUAGAAAAGCUCUAGCAAACGAACUACACGAUCUUUGUGCUAUGCUUAGGAUUGGGUCUUGUCCAUCACAUUAUUCUCCUAAUGAUGUGAUCCCGUUAUCAACGACAUCCAGUGUCCAUAGCCAGGAAACCAUGACUAUCUGUUGAUCACAACGAGCUAGUCAACUAGAGGCUCACUAGGAACAUAUUGUGGUCUAUGUAUUCACACGUGUAUUACGAUUUCCGGAUAAUACAGUUAUAGCAUGAAUAAAAGACAAUUAUCAUGAACAAGGAAAUAUAAUAAUACUUUUAUUAUUGCCUCUAGGGCAUAUUUCCAACACGAAGGUACUGCAUUUCUCUCAUUUUUGUCACCUGGCAAAAUGUUCUCCAUUAAUAAACUUGUAAUUCAGUUUCUGUUGUCACUAGAUUUUUUUUGUUAAAAUUGUAGUUUGCAAGGAAACUGUAAUGUUUGAUUUUUUUAAUUUGAGGUAAAGCUAAUUGUGUCUUGCAUACACUCGGGUUUUUAUUUGGGUCUGGUUGAAUAACUCAUAUCAGGCGGCAUGGAGCUAAUUUGACUCCUAAAGCCAGUAAGAGGGUUCCUUGGAUGGUCAAUAAGGGGAUGAUGCCAAUUAGUCUGGAUUCUGGAACAAUGCUAACAUUGAAAUCCUUGAACUUGUUGGUGCAUCCGUGCUUUGAGAAAAAAACAGUUAGGUAUGCUUCUCAGUUCUCACUACCUCCGCGUGAAAACCCAAAUUACAAAUCCUUAUUUGUUAUUUCCAACUACAUUUUGUGGCUGAUGGACAAUAUUUCCGUUGCUAACUUCCUUCCUUUGAAUGACUUGCCAAUGAUCUUUCACAAUUUAUAGCGUUUUACUUUACUUCUAUAACUGAUAUCCUUUAAAUUCAGUUUGUUUUAAAGGUUCACCAUGUUUCUGUAACAAAAUUUAUCCUGUGAAUUGGUAUGUCUGCUCCACUGGGCAGCAGCUGCAACCUUUCAACUUUGGCCCUUGCACCUUUGUUUCAUAUGUGUAUGCUCUAUUUUCCUGUCCAGUCAUUUGGUCUUUAUAUUCAGCUUGUGUUUGUCAAGAGCUUAUUCGGUCAAAGGUUAUAAGAGAUAUGGCAUUGCCACUGUUCCGCUAAGGGAUACGGGGUCAUGAAAAAUCAAGGUUUGUUCGUGUUUCCCACCAAUUGUUUUGUUAUACACCCUGUUCUUACUACUUGCAUGUGACAGCCCGAGCAGCAGGCAAAAUUCUAUUUCUUCUUCUAGAUUGCUAUACCAUUGUGCAAGAAUACCAAUGCAAAUGUGCCUUUUCAGUCCAUAUUUAACAAUGACAAAAAAUAUUUUCCUUUUGUUUCUUUUUCACUUGUGUCUGCACCGGAGAAUGUUCAUCCUUGCCUUCCAUCACCGGAGAAUAUUCAUCCUUACCUUCCAUCACUUGCUCUACUGUAACAAUGCUAAUUUCUCUGCCAUCUAAUUGCUCCAUACACUUAGUUUGUUUAUAUCUAGAGUUCACAUAGGGGUUAGUAAACAGAUAGUCUUUUUUAACCAAACGGCCAUGCAGGUUUGAGCAAGCUCAAAGUAGGCUGGGGGAUGACCAAUGAUUAUACUGAUGCUGGUCAAAGCCAUAUUUUUUGUGCAGGUCCUAGCAAGCUCAUCGCCCACAUAAAAUAUUCCUUGAUGGUGGUCCAUUAUUUUUGUGCAUAUUUAGCUCAGUAUUCGGCCAAACACUUUAACUUGUAUAUCAUAAGAAAGAAAUGCACAUUUUUUACUCGAGAAGCAGUAAAUCUCUUGAUUAUUAAAAUUGUCAGACACCUUUAUGAUUCAGAAGUAUACUUGUCUACGAUCGCGGCCGCCCACGCAUUCGAGCCACCAGGACCGUUAAGGAGACCUUGCAAGGCAAUACUUGGGCGCUGGACUUGGGACCAGUCAUUGAUUUGCCAUGCCUGCAACAGUUUUGAAUGCUAUGGCGACGGAUUGCUGAUGUUCAACUCACGGGAGGAGCAGAGGCCACCAUAAGAUGGGCGUGGAAGAGUAGUGGCAUGUUCUCCGUUCGCCCUGCAUAUGCCUCAAAAUUCGGAGGAAGCGAUGUGGUACCGUACGCGGACGUCACAUGGAACUCGAAGGCCGCACUUCAAUGUCGGUUCUUCACUUGGUUAGCCAUGUGAAACCGUUGUUGGACGUCCGUUCAACUCACCAAGAGAGGCUUGCCCACCACGACACAUGCCCCUUCUACGAAACCGACGAGACCAUUAACCAUCUUCUCAUUGAAUGCACCUUCACACGAUCAUCGAUCGUGUGGCAUAUGGUGUGGUCGGCUAUUGGAAAUUCGGACCAAGCUCCCACUGUUGACGAUAACUUGGGAAAUGAAACGAGGGCCAUUCUUUUUCUUUUUUGCAAAAUGAAACAAGGACCAUUCUCUCGCCCAUCACUUGGGAACUUUGUAAACACCGCAAUGCUAUUGUCUUUGGCGGAGCAACACUUUUUGUGCUUACGAUCAUCAAGAAAAUUGUGACCGAAGGGAGGACAUGGCAGCAAGCCGGGCUACUCAAGGGUAGGUGGGUUAGUAGAGAGUAGUCAAUCAUUGUGGCCGAUAGAUGGUGGGCUACCAUGUCCUCCGUUCCAAAAUAGAUGACCCAACUUUGUACUAACUUUGUACUAAAGUUGAGUCAUCUAUUUUAGAACGGAGUGAGUAAUAUAUGACAAGCACACUCUUCGUGAAAAAGAUGUAUAUGUAUAAUCUGAUCUUUUUCUAUUUGUGAUUUUCCGCACUAAAUUUUCUGUGGACCUUGGAUCAUGCCGAGUCAGCUAGAAAUGCUAUAUCAUCAGUACCUUAGCUAUUAUUUUCAUUUAUUACCAAUACAUUAAAGACCCAGUUGGUGAUGCUAUAUGUCAUUUCUGACCAUAUGAGUGAAUGCAUGUGAGGUAAAUUGCAUGAGCGAGCAGUUCAUAUUUUUUACAUAAAGUCGUAUAAUUUUUUGAUUAGGAUACAAGGGUAAAUGCGUUGGCUGAUUGUGUCAAGAGUUAAUAACGAGCAUGGUGGUGUAUCAGUCGCAUGCCCAACACUGGAUAUGAUAUUUUUGUUUCCUGGUAAUGCUCGACAUUAAACUGUAUGUUACAACGUGACAAUGGCUCAUGAGACGUCGGAUCUGCCUUCUUGGCUCGGGGGCGUCAGGGUGCACACCUCGUGGCCCUUGAUGGCGGCGACGGAUCGGAAUGAAUACGGGGGAGGGGAUCAGUGCGGAGAGCGGGGUAGUUGGUGGGGGAUUCCUCUUUAGCGAUCCGUCGGGAAGUAUGGUGUGAAGGAGAGGGGGCGCCAUGGCAAAUGUGAGGUCGGCGUCAUCCGAUUUUUAAGAAGUGGACUCCAGCGAGUAGUGUCUAGCUACAGUGGGAAACCUAGCGGGAAAUGGAGGGUCCGGCAGGAAGAGAGAAGGGUGCGUCGUUGGGAGUUUUUUUAUGAAACCGUGUGUUGGAGAUAACAUGACGGAUAGUUCGAACAACCAUAUUUCUCUCCCAAAUAUAGGCCAGAUUUCUAGGAGCCGGGACUAUCCAUAUAGUUCCAUUUUGUGGAGCCUGCUAGGCGUCAUUUGAUGUCCGAACUUGUUCGAAUGUACAAGGGAGAAAUGAGAUUUGACCUUGAAGAUGAUCCUAAUUAUUCCGUUGAUUCAUUUAUAUGUAUUAUAGCCCGUAGCAACGCACGGGCGUUCUACUAGUACCUCAUUAGUGACCCUACCUUUUGUGCUUACAAGGGGUUGUUUCUUUUACUUUGUACUCUCUCUGUUCCCAAAUAUUUGUCUUUAUAGAGAUUUCAACAAGUGACUGCAUACGAAGCAAAAUAAAUGAAUCUACACUCUAAAAUAUGUCUACAUACAUCCGUAUGUUAUAAUCCAUUUGAAAUGUAUAGAAAGACAAAUAUUUGGAAAUAGAGGGAGUAGUUUGUAAUUUGUAAGCUUUUAGUGGAUCCAAGAUUCAUAUUCAGUGCAAAGAAAGAACAAUAGUACAGUCAGCAUCGUGCUAUAUAAAAUUGCCAUGCCAUCAAAAGCCAUCCUUACUAGAAGGGUUAGACCCGCUUUGCUGCACCGUUGGUGUUGUUGGGUUUGUUAAAAAAAAUUAAUUACUUUGUUUCAGAAUAUAAGGUGUAUUACCUUUUUCAAAAGUCAAACCUUUUAUGUUUGAUCAAAUUUGUAGAGAAAUAUAUCAAAAUUCAUAAUACCAUACGGGUAUGAUUAGAUUCAUCAUGAAACAAAUUUCCAUAGCUUUUUUCUGUUUAAUAUUGUGGAUGUAAUAUCUUUGCUUUGAGCUUGGUCAAAAUUAAAGAACUUUGACUUAAAAAAAACUAAUACCCCUUAUAGUUUGGAAUUGAUGUAAUAUUUAUUUUGAUGGGUGGAGGACACGGUGGAGUGUAUUUUUGUUUUUAUUUAUAAUGCGAUGAUUUGGUGGACCUUUCAUGGUUGAUUCUAUGUUAUCCACAAACCCACUUAUAUUUAUGUGGGAAAGUUUCUGCGUCGGUGGAUGCAUGUACUAUAAUGCUGAUAUAGUAUCAUGUAAUGUCUUUUAGAUGGUGGGGAUGGUGCGCGAGAUUGAUAUGUCUUUAUAGACCGGUUUCUAUUGAUUAAUUUGAAAAAACGUUGGCCCGGUCAAAAUUAUAAACCAAAUUCAAAAUUGAAUACCUCAAUUGAUAAAAUAAGCUUUAAAAUUAAGGAACAUAGCAAAUUAUAGAAUUAGAUGGGAGAGUUUGAGAAAUUGUUGACCCGAUCAAAAUUGAGUGACUCAAUUCUAAAUUGAAUACCUCAAUUAAUUAUGGCGCGUUGAAAAUUGGAAAGCUUUGAGAAAUUGUUUGACCCGACCGAAAUGACCAUGUUCUAAUCGGAGACCUCAAUUGAAUAUAGAUCUUCAAAAUUAAGGAGCAUAAUGUUGUAACUUAUAUUCCGUACAAUAGAGUUGGUUAUAAAAUUAACUAUGAGGUUAGUCUUUUUUCUUACUUUUUCUCUAUCCCUUUCCUCCCAUUUAUGUUUUUUCUAGGAGUACGCCUAGAGCCCACUCCUCCUUUUCUUAGUCUAGGCUCUGGUUCUUAAAUUAACUCCUUUUUUUCUUAGUCUGGGCUCUGGUUCUUAAAUUAGCGCGUCGUAAAGAGCAUGAAAUAUUUCGCCGGCGACUUUUGACAGAUUCUCUUGCAGCGCCGGAGGUCAAUUGCGGGGGCGGCGUGUGCAGUUUACCUCUGGACUGGACGGGCUCGUCUUCCAUUCAAAUAUUCAACUACCGGAAAUGCGUUACCAGUAUUUGCAACUUGCAGCCGCGUGGAAGCUGAAAAGUAGCAAGCCGUAGUAGUAUUGUUGUUGGUGAAAAGAGCACUGUGACGGGCACUGGAUGCUCCUCGGUUAUCACGUGGAGAAAAUACAGAAAAGGCAAUAGUACUCCCUUUGUUCUAUAAUAUAGUGCACAUAGAUUUUUUGAUAGUCAAAAUUUAUAAACUUUGAUCAAGUUUAUAUAGAAAACUAUUUAAAUAUGUAAUACUAAAUACAGUAUAUAAAAUAUGAAACUACUUAUUAUAAUGAAUCUAACACUAGAUGUUUGCCAUUCAAGCUGUAAAUGAUUUUCUCCAAAAACUUGGCCAAAAAUUAUAGGGUUUGGCUUUUUUAAAAAAAAUCUAUAUGCACUACAUUAUGGAAUGGAGGGAGUAGUAGAGUUGGAAAUCGGCACAGGAGAAGAAGUAGCAGUAGAAGUUUGUGGUUUUCCUUAGGGUGGUACUAGUUGUUUUUUGAGGGGUCCUUAGGGUAGUAGGUUGGACAUGACUUGCUUGGGACUUCAUGUAGCCGCUGUCAUGGGCCGGCCAAACCAGCGCUCGCUCCCGGUCCUUCGUUCAGAAACACCCCAAGCGGGCCACUCACUACGCAGAUUUUUUUUGUUCUUUAGUCUUUUGUGCUAUCGAUCUGCUAGAAAAAAGAUGGAUUGGUUUUUAAUAUUUAUGAAAAAAUUGUGAAAUAAAAAAGAUUUUUAUGGAUUUUGUAAACAAAUCAUCCAUUUGAGAAAACUUCAUCGAUUUUUUAAAAAAUAUAUAUAUUUGACAAAAAAUUCACAAAUUUGUGAAAGGUUCAUCAAUUUUUAAAAAGUGAAUCGAUUAUCAAAAAAAGAUCAAAAAAUUGAAAAAACAAAAACAUCGAUUUGAAAAGGCUCAUCAAUUUAUAAAACAUUCACUGAUUUCAAAAACAAUUCACAAACUUACAAAAAGGUCAUCAAUUUUCAAAAAAUAAUCACAAAAUUUAAAAUUUUCGUAGAUUAACAAAAACACAAAUUUGAAAAAUCAAUAACUUUGACAAAAAACUGUCAUUAGUUUUGAAAAAAGUUCUCAAAUUUGGAAAAGGUUCAUCAACUUUGGAAAAAAAUUAUCGAUUUUUUAAAUUAUCAACCAUUUUAAAAAAAAAAAUCACAAAUUUGAAAAAAAGUUCGUCGAUUUUGGAGAAAAAGUUCAUCAUUUUUGAGAAAAAAGUUCGCAAAUUUAAGAAACGGAAACUAAAAAUAAAGAAAAGGUAUAAGGAAAAAAAGAAAGGGAAACUAUUAAAAAAAGGAACGAGACCUUUGCAUUCACAGCAAAUUGAAGAAAUAAUAAAAGAAAAAGAAGAAGUAAUUAAGCACAUGUGUGAAUAUGACCUAGUGGUUGUUGCGGUUUUCCAUGAAUCGAGAGAUCUCAAGUUCGAACCCGCCGGCCACACCUUUUUUGAACUUUAGCAGGAUAGAAAAAGAAAACAUAAAUGGUCUGGCCCAGCUCGAAGGGUGGGGAUGCGCCGGAUGGCAAAAAAAAAAGCCUGUAAACUGUUUUCAUCUAACAACCAAUCACAAACCUCUCCCCUCCUGAUUUUCAGGGGGGUGGACCGUCCCGCUCACCUGUUGGCCAAUGAAAACUAACCCACCCUGUAAAAGCCUGUAAACUGUUUGUACGUGUAGCAUUGCCGCUUGCUCGUUGACCGACGCUUACCGAGGACAUUUCCUAAACGGCGCCCGUAGCACCCGUUACAGGCUUAACCGUACGGGGCGCACACCCCCUUUCUCCUCGCUGGGCCGGGCCAUGUUACUUUCUUUUUCCUGUUUAAAGACGCAAAAACACAGCGAGUACGGUGCAUCGAACACGCGAUCUUUUGGCUCAACGUUCGUUGACACAACCAACCAGCCAACCGACUUCACUUGUGUACUUUUAGCGUUUCAAUUUUUUGUUAACCAUAUUGAAGAAAAAUUUUCACAAUACAUUCAAAAAAAUGUUCAGUGUGUAUAAAAAAAUGUUCAUCAUGUAUAGAAAUUUUGUUCAGCAUGCAUUCGAAAGGAGUUGAUCGUAUUUAAAAAAAAAGUUAUACAUGUAUUUGAAUAUUGUUCACCAAACAUUGAAAAAAAUGUUCAGUGUGUAUAUAAAAAUGUCAUGUAGAGAAAUUUUGUUCAGCAUGUAUUCAAAAAAAGUUCAGCGUAUUUUUAGAGAAAUGUUCUGUGUCUCUUUGAAUAAUGUUCAUCCUAUACUAAGAAAAUGUUCAAUGUGUAUUCAGAACUAUUUUUGAAUACGCGGACUUUUUUGCAUGCUCGCGAGGUCGAAUCCUGGUCGGGACGUAUUUUUGGCUGUCAUUUUUCGCGUUGCUUUUGUUGCGUGAUCGUGGGCUGGCCCAUCCAACCGCUGUGCGGGCGCCAGAUCCCUUGCGCGGCGCUGAAGGCGCCCUAUAGGAGGUCCCCUUACCGAGCCCCAGGUAGUACACGACCUGACGACCUGGGUCAAGCCCCGCAGAUAAAUGAUAGCCCAGUCUAACUAAAUUCUUGAAGGAUCUGGCCCGCUCUAGUUGAGUGUAGGCAAAUGGAGCUGAAGCGUGCUACUAUUGUUCCUAACCCAAAUUAUUAUUUGUUUUGAGAGUCUGUGUACCUUGGGAGCGACUAUGCCAUGCUUUUUUUAGACAGUCAGCAAAGCUUUAUUGAUCAGUCACACAGUUUACAUAGUAGAGAGCAACUAUGCCUUGCUUAUAGCGAGACAGUACAAGCACUUGCCUGAAGUGCCUUCGCCGCGUGCAGGGCCUUCAGCUCCCAUUUGCUUCUUUCAUUUUUCAUAUUUUUUUCACAUUUUUUCUUUCCUUUUCUUUACCUUUGCUUAUAUUGAAAUAUUCUAAAUAUAUAUAUUACAAAAAUCGUUUUACAAAAAAAUUCAAAAAUGUUAAUCAUGCAUUUGAAAAAUGUUAAGCACAUACAGAAAAAUGUUCUAAUGCAUAAAAAAAUAAUGUGUAUGGAAAAAGUAUACAUCAAAACAUAAAUAUGAAAACAUAUUAAUAGUGUAUUAAAACUAUGUUAAACAUGUACAAAAAAUCCUGAUGUAUACAAAAAAAAUGUACAAACUGUAUGUAAAAUGUACACGUGUAUGAAAAAAGUAGACAUGAAAAUAAAAAAAUAAAGAGUGUUAAUCAUGCAUUUAGAAAAUAUUACACAUGUAUAAAACAAUGUUCUUGUUGUAUACAAAAAAAAUUUAGAAGGUGUGUGUAAAAAGUAGACAUCAAAAAUAUUAUUUGAUAUUUUUAAUUGUGCAUAUAAAAAAUGUUCAUGAUGUAUACAAAAAAUAUGCAAUGUGUGCGAUAAAAAAUUGACAUCAAAAUAUAUCCCGGAAAAAAAAGUAAUGAUGCAUUUGAAAUUAUUAAACGUAUAUAAAAAAAUUCUUUGAGGUGUAUGCCGAAAAUGCAUAAUGGGUAUGAAAAAUAAAAUAGGCACCACAAUAUUUUUUUAAAAUGUUAAUUGUGUAUUUAAAAAUGUACCUGAUACAUGCGAAAAUGUAGAUUUGUGUUGGAAAACACCCGAAGAAAAGUGAGAAACGAAAAAAAAUAAACACCAAUACAGGAAAACUGGAGAAAGCCCUGUGCAAAAAGAAAAGAAACAAAAAAGAAGAAAAUCGAGAAAGAAACAAAAAGAGAAAGUAUAACGAAUUUUAAAACCCCGAAGAAAAGCAGUGAUGAAGUAAUAUAAAAAAGGAAAACAACCGAAGCAAACACGUCAGCGAUCAGAUGAAACGAACAAACACACGACAGAGAAACGCCCUACUAGACCGCUUCACGCGCAAUAAGCGAGAUAUCGCUCCCACGAUAGAUCUUUGCCUCCUUCCUCGUCACACCACCUCACAACCCUAUAAUAUAUACUGGAAGGGUUUGGCGCGCUUUUCUGCGUCAUUAGUGUUGUUGGAUUUCUUUAAAAAAUCACUUUGUUUCAGAAUAUAAUGUGUGUUACUUUUUUUGAAAAGGCAAACAUUUUAAGUUUGAUCAAAUUUAUAGAGAAAUAUAUCAAAAUCCAUAAUUUCAUAUUGAUAUUUUUAGAUUCAUCAUGAAAUGAAUUUUCAUACUUUUUUUGCUGAAUAUUGUGGAUGUCGAUAUUUUUGCUCUGAACUUGGUCAAACUUAAAGAAAUUUGACUUUCUAAAAAACUAAUACCCCUUUAUAUUUUAGAACUGAUAGAAUAUUUAGUUUGGCGGGUGGGGAGAUGAUAAAGUGUGUUUUAUAUUUAUUUAUAAUGUGUUGAUUUGGUGGGCCUUUUGUGGUGUGAUUCUGUGUAUCCGCUAACCUGUCUAUAUUUAUGUGGAGAAAUCUCUGUGUUGGUGGUUGCAUAUACUUUUUUUUUU
This 23123-nucleotide long non-coding RNA is filed under the name Triticum aestivum (bread wheat). RNAcentral describes it as "long non-coding RNA (TAES_LNC016718)". The record is from RNAcentral. Lineage: Eukaryota; Viridiplantae; Streptophyta; Magnoliopsida; Poales; Poaceae.